RNAcentral lists this ribosomal RNA (406 nucleotides) under uncultured bacterium. Its description in RNAcentral is "partial 16S ribosomal RNA". It matches the Rfam family "Bacterial small subunit ribosomal RNA", at positions 30 to 526 of the family's 1533-position model. The record is from RNAcentral.
AUUGAACGCUGGCGGCAAGCCUAACACAUGCAAGUCGAACGAGUGGCGGACGGGUGAGAAAUGUCUGGGAAACGGCCUGAUGGAGGGGGAUAACUACUGGAAACGGUAGCUAAUACCGCAUACCAUCGGAUGUGCCCAGAUGGGAUUAGCUAGUAGGUGGGGUAAAGGCUCACCUAGGGGACGAUCCCUAGCUGGUCUGAGAGGAUGACCAGCCACACUGGAACUGAUACACGGUCCAGACGCCUCCGGGAGUCAGCAGUGGGGAAUAUUGCACAAUGGGCGCAAGCCUGAUGUAGCCAUGCCGCGUGUAUGAAGAAGGCCUUCGGGUUGUAAAGUACUUUCAGCGGGGAGGCGUUACCCGCAGAAGAAGCACCGGCUAACUCCGUGCCAGCAGCCGCGGUAAUUC